AUGCAGGACAGAGACAUGAUGGAUAACAUGUGGAGACAUGUGAAGGUUUGAAAGGAUGCAGCAGCAGCUGGUGGAGAUCUGUGGAUGGAGUCACGUGUUUGGAUUUACAUCAUGUGGACUGGACAUGUAAGCUGGAACUGAAGACGCCUCUUGGAUGACAAGUGAAACGUCUUCAAGAAACUCAAGCAAGUCCAGCUGCCUACCUGUUUCACCUGUUCUGUUUUAUAUUCAGGACUGUUGUCAGCCACUCAUGAUGUUUGUCACAGACUUUUUAUGGACUCUAAAAUACUACAUUAACAACGGGGAUUUCCAGACGUGGGCAGGAAGAGGACGGAGCUGAAAUAUAAAUCUCCCUUUCAUCAUAUAUUUAAGGACCAUUUCACAUAGAUGGAGCCUUUUCUCUCCAUAAUGGUGCAUGUCUUCAGCCUGGAGGAUCAGGAAGGAUACCAGGUAUAUAAUAUCGUCAGAAGUUUUGGGGCCCAAAACCAUUUUUUUGUUGCUGCUGCUCGGCCUGUGUUUGUAUCACCAGGUGAAGCAUUACAGUAAAUACAGUGUCUGUCUAUGACCCUCUAA
This is a non-coding RNA of Epinephelus lanceolatus (giant grouper), 573 nucleotides long. The record is from RefSeq and is a predicted model, not a curated record. NCBI's taxonomy places the organism in Eukaryota, Metazoa, Chordata, Actinopteri, Perciformes, Serranidae.